CUACCAAGACAGUGACGGUUGACGGGAAAUUAGGGUUUUAUUCCGGAGAGGGAGCCUGAGAGAUGGCUCCCACGUCCAUGGACGGCAGCAGGCGCGAAAAUUACCCACUCUUCUGCGAGGAGGUAGUUAUGAGACAUGACAGUAAGGACGGACAGUAAAGUUGUUUGUGAGAUGCGAUUGGAGGGCAAGUUUGGUGCCAGCAGCCGCGGUAAUACCGACUCCAAGAGUGUCUAUGGUGGAUGCUGCAGUUAAAAAGUCCGUAGUUGUUGAAGCAAUUAAAGAAUGCAGAUCGAAUGCGUUUAAUUUGUUACUAGUGGUGGAACGGAUAGGGAACAUAGUAUAGGUGGGCGAGAGAUGAAAUUACCAAGACCCCAUCUGGACUGACAGAGGCGAAGGCGAUGUUCUUAUACGAAUCCGUAGAUCAAGGACGAAGGCUGGAGUAUCGAAAGUGAUUAGAUACCGCUGUAGUUCCAGCAGUAAAAGAUGCC
This 488-nucleotide ribosomal RNA is filed under the name Microsporidia sp. Its description in RNAcentral is "bacterial SSU rRNA". It matches the Rfam family "Microsporidia small subunit ribosomal RNA", at positions 200 to 696 of the family's 1311-position model. The record is from RNAcentral. Lineage: Eukaryota; Fungi; Microsporidia.